GAUGAACGCUGGCGGCGUGCCUAAUACAUGCAAGUCGAGCGAACAGAUGAGAUGCUUGCUUCUCUGAUGUUAGCGGCGGACGGGUGAGUGACACGUGGGUAACCUACCUAUAAGACUGGGAUAACUCCGGGAAACCGGGGCUAAUACCGCAUAAUAUCUUCUUCCGCAUGGAAGAAGAUUGAAAGACGGCUCUGCUGUCACUUAUAGAUGACCUUGCGGUGCAUUAGUUAGUUGGUGGGGUAAUGGCCUACCAAGACAAUGAUGCAUAGCCGACCUGAGAGGGUGAUCGGCCACAUUGGGACUGAGACACGGCCCAAACUCCUACGGGAGGCAGCAGUAGGGAAUCUUCCGCAAUGGGCGAAAGCCUGACGGAGCAAUGCCGCGUGAGUGAAGAAGGCCUUCGGGUCGUAAAACUCUGUUAUAAGAGAAGAACAAAUUGUAGAGUAACUGCUACAGUCUUGACGGUAUCUUAUCAGAAAGCCACGGCUAACUACGCGCCAGCAGCCGCGGUAA
This 513-nucleotide ribosomal RNA is filed under the name uncultured bacterium. RNAcentral describes it as "partial 16S ribosomal RNA". It matches the Rfam family "Bacterial small subunit ribosomal RNA", at positions 28 to 523 of the family's 1533-position model. The record is from RNAcentral.